Molecule: ribosomal RNA, 432 nt
Filed under: uncultured bacterium
Lineage: Bacteria
Description: partial 16S ribosomal RNA
Rfam family: Bacterial small subunit ribosomal RNA
Source: RNAcentral
AACGAACGCUGGCGGCAUGCCUAACACAUGCAAGUCGAACGAGACCUUCGGGUCUAGUGGCGCACGGGUGCGUAACGCGUGGGAACCUGCCCUUAGGUUCGGAAAACUUCCCCGAAGGGGGGCUUAAAACCGGUAAUGGUUUUCGGACAAAGGUUUAUCGGCUUUGGAUGGGCCCGCGUUGGAUUAGCUAGUUGGUAGGGUAAAAGCCUACCAAGGCGACGGUCCAUAGCUGGUCUGAGAGGAUGAUCAGCCACACUGGGACUGAGACACGGCCCAGACUCCUACGGGAGGCAGCAGUGGGGAAUAUUGGACAAUGGGCGAAAGCCUGAUCCAGCAAUGCCGCGUGAGUGAUGAAGGCCUUAGGGUUGUAAAGCUCUUUUACCCGGGAUGAUAAUGACAGUACCGGGAGAAUAAGCUCCGGCUAACUCCGUG